RNAcentral lists this unclassified non-coding RNA (302 nucleotides) under Hevea brasiliensis (rubber tree). The record is from RNAcentral. Lineage: Eukaryota; Viridiplantae; Streptophyta; Magnoliopsida; Malpighiales; Euphorbiaceae.
UUGCUUCUGCUUCAAAUAUCCUAUCUUAAGCUUGAAAGACAAGCAGACUUCUCAUCGUAAUGUUCCUUCUGAGUGCCAGUUACUCUACCCUACAAUGCAUUUCAGCUGCUGAAUUUUAUCUGCUUUUAAUUUCCUGUAACUGGCAUCCUGGUCUUACAUUGAUGCGAUUAUCAGCUUAUGAGCAAGUAGCAACACUCCACUUUGUGCAGUUUUAGGCCUAAUUUUUGUGGUCUCAUUUGUAUAUAUAUUCUUUCUUGAUGCUGAUACAUGAUAGGCAUCUAAUGCCUUUCAAUAUUCCUUGC